RNAcentral lists this ribosomal RNA (675 nucleotides) under Azilia sp. 838. RNAcentral describes it as "SSU rRNA". It matches the Rfam family "Eukaryotic small subunit ribosomal RNA", at positions 1024 to 1724 of the family's 1831-position model. The record is from RNAcentral. Lineage: Eukaryota; Metazoa; Arthropoda; Arachnida; Araneae; Tetragnathidae.
UUCUAACCAUAAACGAUGCCAGCCAGCGAUCCGGCUGUGUUCCUCAAAUGACACGCCGGGCAGCUUCCGGGAAACCAAAGCUUUUGGGUUCCGGGGGGAGUAUGGUUGCAAAGCUUAAACUUAAAGGAAUUGACGGAAGCGAACACAAGGAAUGGGGCCUGCGGCUCAAUUUGACUCAACACGGCGAAUCUGACCCGGCCCGGACACAGGAAGGAUUGACAGAUUAAGAGCUCUUUCUUGAUUCUGUGAUAGGUGGCGCAUGGCCGUUUCUGGUUGGUGGAGUGAUUUGUCUGCUUGAUUGCGUUAACGAGCGAGACUCUAGCCUACUAAAUAGACGUUCCGAUCCUUGUGAGUCGGACGUUCUUCUUAGAGGGACAAGCGGUGUUUAGCCGUACGAAACAGAGCAAAAACAGGUCAGGAUGCCCUUAGAUGUUCGGGGCCGCACGCGCGCCACAUUGAAGGAAUCAGCGUGUGCUUUCCCUGUCUGGCAGGACUGGGUAACCCGUUGAACCUCUUUCGUGCUGGGGAUAGGGGCUUGCAACUGUUCCCCUUGAACGAGGAAUUCCCAGUAAGCAUGAGUCACCAGCUCGUGUUGAUUACGUCCCUGCGCUUUGUACUCACCGCCCGUCGCUAUUAUCGAUGAAUUUUGGAGUGAGAUCUUCGGACUGGUUCCCG